This is a long non-coding RNA of Erpetoichthys calabaricus (reedfish), 1286 nucleotides long. RefSeq lists it as uncharacterized. NCBI's taxonomy places the organism in Eukaryota, Metazoa, Chordata, Cladistia, Polypteriformes, Polypteridae. The record is from RefSeq and is a predicted model, not a curated record. The transcript has 3 exons.
GAGGAUUGUGGUCUGCAUUUUUGCCUGUUUUUAGCUGCUAUUGCUACUGAUAACCAAUUUUUCAAUUGAGUCUCUGGAAUUGCAGGGCUCAUAGAAGGCAAAGCCCAUGGGAAUACUCACAGUCAACUGAAGGGAAAAAAGGGAAGAAAUGACAAAUGUAGGCUAUGUCAGGACAAUGGUAUACGGCUGCAGUGGGGGAGGCUGAGACUUGAGGUGUGUGGGGGUUUCUUGGGCAUUAGAAUACAAUCGUUCUUUGCUCUAAUAUGUACUCUUUCUGUUUGUUGUCUGAUGCAUAAAAUCUUUGUAGCUACUUUGUUCAGACCUAUGAAGUUCAUUUUAAAAUCAGUGGAAAAAAAAUCUGUCUGGGAAUGUAAGGUGUCGAUGGAAAGGAAGAAAAAAAAAAGAAAGAAAAAGAACCCUUUGGAAGGUCUGCUGGGAGCACAAUGACCGCAAGGUCAACCAUAUAUAAGAGAUGUGAACAUUAAGAAAGGGAACAAAAAUCAGAAAUGGGCGAGGCUGGCAGCGUGUGGAAGUCAUCUACAACCCCAGAAUUUUGAACAUGUCUGCCCUGGGUUCAGUAAGCCCUUUUGAAAGCAAAGAAGAAAUCAAGAUCAUUUCAUAAGUCUUUCCAGAUGAUAUCCAAUUAUUUUAAAACUCCCAACUUGGGACAAGAUCACCUGGGAUUUCUAAUGUGAUGAAGCAUUUUUCAUUAGUGAACAAGCCACUGCAAAACCUUACGUGUUUCUUACUGUUUGGUAAUGUAAUUUAAGUUUAUACAAGGGGAACUCGAAAGGUAUUUUGUAUGUAUUUGACUUGUCACAACAGCAAUGCAGAAACUAACAAUAUUAUUAUAUUCAGAAAUUUCUUUCUAUUUUUCAACAGUAUCUCAACUACAUUUUUAUAAUUGCAGAAAAAAAUGUUUUUUGUUAAAUGGUAAGCCAUGUGUUAUCAAAUUGGCAACCUGUCAGUAGCAAAAUAACAUCUCCUAUAGCAUAUUUGAGAUUGUCCAAAAUAAUCUGAUGAAUGGUCAGUACUUUUAUUAUAGUGCUUCAAAAUGCUAAAAGCUGGACAGCCUCGGCUAUUUUCAACAAUUGCAAACAGAGUAAAAUACCUGCACUGAGAAGUAAUUUUCCUUUUCUCAUCUUUUAGCUGCAAAAUAAACACAGCCUACAUUAUAACUCUUAGGGUAUUCAAUAUUACUGUAGAUUGUAAAGCUUUUAGUUACCAGGUUCCUAAAGUUUGAAAUGGACUGUUAUGAGUUGUUCCUGUCACACCACAAUAAAGUA